AUGAGGAGGAAGGCGCAGAGCCAGGGGUCGCUCAGGCCCCGGGAUUACAGAGCUCGGCUCCACGCAGGCUGCCCGAGGUCGCUCCGAGGCAUGCAGCACAGCAGCCAGACUCCUCACAAGCAUCCGAACCACCGCUUUGUCUGCCCUGCAGCGCCAGAAAAUACCUUUAUGUCUUUCAGGUUGCUUGCAGUCAUUGCUCUUACAAAGCUGCAAAUGCACGGAAUCGUUAAGAAAGCGUCGCCUACCAAUGCAGACCCUUCAGGUCAGCUGUCCCGCUGCCCGAGGCAGCCGGGGAACGAGUACAUUUGCACGGUGACUGCUGCAACAGCUCCUCACCCGGUUCCUCGUCUCCCCCGGCAAAGCCGCCCGGCCGGCUGGAGCCGAGGGGAGCCGGAGACCGCGGGGCGCGGAGGGGACGGGACUCGGGCCUCGCCGCGCCGCCGCCGGGCUCCCCGCCGAGCCCCCGGCCCCGCGCCCGCCGCCCCACUCACCCCGGCCGCGGGUCGCUCAUGGUGGCGCCGGGCGGCGGCGCCCAGGGGCAGCGCUCGGGGUCCGCGCGGCGCUGCCGGGCGGGGGCCUCGCGCUGCCGCCGCGUCCGCGCCGUUGCCAGGGCACGGCCACGCGGUGACGCCGCGGGGCGGGGCGGGGCCGGGGCUCCCCGCGGGCCGCGAGCGGGCGCUGCGGCGGUCGGGGGGCGCGGCGCUGCCCGGCACUGCUCGGUACGCGCGGCACGGCCCGGGCAUCCUUCCCCUGCUUCCAGGACAAAUGGCAAGCCCCGAGGCACGCACGUUGGCGAGCUCUGCGCCUGCUGGGAUAAGCGAGAUGUGCCCCCCCCACCCCGUGCUGCACCUCCGCAGAAGAACUGCAGAAGAACUCCAUCCUCUGCUUCAGAUGCUCGUGCAGCAGCAGUUUGCAGGCUGCACCCACACGUCUCCGCAGCAUGAGCUGUGCACGCCGAACCCCAGCCUUCUCUUCUGCCUGUGCAAAGGCCAGCACAGAACUGAGCCUGUGCAACCCGCUCCCAGCCCUCGCGGCAGUAUCAAGCAGACUGCCACUGGGAAGCACUGCUCAGAAGCCCCAGCUGAUGAAAUUGGGACAAGUUGCUGUAGCACAACCUGGCUGACAGGAUUACUCUGCCUCACUCAGUUGCCUGCGAUCCUCAUCUUCUUGCUCCAUCCUUUUUGCCCCCACCGUGGGAGACAACAGUUAAAACAAGGAUUUUCCAUGGACCAUACAGAUGGGGUAUGGAUCACACACACCUAA
RNAcentral lists this long non-coding RNA (1263 nucleotides) under Anas platyrhynchos platyrhynchos (common mallard). RNAcentral describes it as "lncRNA (ENSAPLG00000021294.1)". Lineage: Eukaryota; Metazoa; Chordata; Aves; Anseriformes; Anatidae. The record is from RNAcentral.